UCGGGAAUUUUGGGCAAUGGGCGAAAGCCUGACCCAGCAACGCCGCGUGAAGGAUGAAGUCUUUCGGGAUGUAAACUUCGUAAAAAUAGGAAGAAUAAAUGACGGUACUAUUUGUAAGGUCCGGCUAACUACGUGCCAGCAGCCGCGGUAAUACGUAGGGACCAAGCGUUGUUCGGAUUUACUGGGCGUAAAGGGCGCGUAGGCGGCGUGGUAAGUCACUUGUGAAAUCUCCGAGCUUAACUCGGAACGGUCAAGUGAUACUGCUGUGCUAGAGUACAGAAGGGGCAAUCGGAAUUCUUGGUGUAGCGGUGAAAUGCGUAGAUAUCAAGAGGAACACCUGAGGUGAAGACGGGUUGCUGGGCUGAUACUGACGCUGAGGCGCGAAAGCUAGGGUAGCAAACGGGAUUAGAUACCCUCGUAGUCCCUGAGCGGGCUGGCAAGGCGCAU
This 447-nucleotide ribosomal RNA is filed under the name uncultured bacterium. RNAcentral's name for it is "bacterial SSU rRNA". It matches the Rfam family "Bacterial small subunit ribosomal RNA", at positions 355 to 825 of the family's 1533-position model. The record is from RNAcentral.